Molecule: ribosomal RNA, 320 nt
Filed under: uncultured Prevotella sp.
Lineage: Bacteria; Pseudomonadati; Bacteroidota; Bacteroidia; Bacteroidales; Prevotellaceae
Description: bacterial SSU rRNA
Rfam family: Bacterial small subunit ribosomal RNA
Source: RNAcentral
GAUGAACGCUAGCUACAGGCUUAACACAUGCAAGUCGAGGGGCAGCAUGAUCGAAGCUUGCUUUGAUUGAUGGCGACCGGCGCACGGGUGAGUAACGCGUAUCCAACCUUCCCCAUAGUAGAGAAUAGCCCGGCGAAAGUCGGAUUAAUACUCUAUGUUCUCCUUAGCAGGCAUCUAACGAGGAGCAAAGAUUCGUCGGUAAGGGAUGGGGAUGCGUCUGAUUAGCUUGCCGGCGGGGUAACGGCCCACCGGGGCAACGAUCAGUAGGGGUUCUGAGAGGAAGGUCCCCCACACUGGAACUGAGACACGGUCCAGACUCC